Unclassified non-coding RNA from Cyanistes caeruleus (blue tit), 189 nucleotides. Lineage: Eukaryota; Metazoa; Chordata; Aves; Passeriformes; Paridae. The record is from Ensembl.
CUGACAGACGUGAAGACUCCAGCCCUCAAUUUAUUCAUCCGCAGAACAAAUAGAGUGGAAACAGCGGCAAAACCCAAGCUUUCCGUGUGGCUUUUCCACUGCCGGUCACACCCCUGACCUGGGGAGACCUUCUGGGAGCGGGUGAGAAGGUUGCAAUGAGUCUCCAGCCCUGUUCAGACUCAUUCUCUC